UAGGGAAUCUUCCGCAAUGGGCGAAAGCCUGACGGAGCAACGCCGCGUGAGUGAUGAAGGUCUUCGGAUCGUAAAACUCUGUUAUUAGGGAAGAACAUAUGUGUAAGUAACUGUGCACAUCUUGACGGUACCUAAUCAGAAAGCCACGGCUAACUACGUGCCAGCAGCCGCGGUAAUACGUAGGUGGCAAGCGUUAUCCGGAAUUAUUGGGCGUAAAGCGCGCGUAGGCGGUUUUUUAAGUCUGAUGUGAAAGCCCACGGCUCAACCGUGGAGGGUCAUUGGAAACUGGAAAGCUUGAGUGCAGAAAAAGAAAAAGGAGUAUUUUCCUGUGGCGGUGAAAUGCGCAGAGAUAUGGAGGAACACCAGUGGCGAAGGCGACUUUCUGGUCUGUAACUGACGCUGAUGUGCGAAAGCGUGGGGAUCAAACAGGAUUAGAUACCCUGGUAGUCCACGCCGUAAACGAUGAGUGCUAAGUGUUAGGGGGUUUCCGCCCCUUAGUGCUGCAGCUAACGCAUUAAGCACUCCGCCUGGGGAGUACGACCGCAAGGUU
RNAcentral lists this ribosomal RNA (550 nucleotides) under uncultured bacterium. Its description in RNAcentral is "bacterial SSU rRNA". It matches the Rfam family "Bacterial small subunit ribosomal RNA", at positions 355 to 895 of the family's 1533-position model. The record is from RNAcentral.